Molecule: ribosomal RNA, 2270 nt
Filed under: Triticum aestivum (bread wheat)
Lineage: Eukaryota; Viridiplantae; Streptophyta; Magnoliopsida; Poales; Poaceae
Description: partial small subunit ribosomal RNA
Source: RNAcentral
GUGAUCAAUUCGUCUUCCCACAGCCACGUCCUAAAAUGAAAGAGGCAAACCAAGGAGCCUGCGACAGAGAGUCGCGGAGGACAGUCGUCAUGUACCCUGCGCCUGGCGCAGGCCAUUUGAUCCCCACGGUGGAGUUUGGCAGGCUGCUUGUGUCGCAUGGCCUCGCGGUCAUCGUCGUUCAGCGUGGCCUUCCGGCCGGCAACGCCACAGCUCCCGCGUCCUCCCUGUACGGCAACGGCGACGCUUCAGCCAGCCCCUUUCUCUCUUUCCACUACAUCCCGGAGCCGCCACUCCCGCACGGGGUGCCGGAGGGCGACCAUGUGGCCAAGGUUUUCGAGCUUACACGCGCUUCCAACCCUGAGCUCCGUGAUUUCCUCCGCGUCACCUCCCCGGCGGCCCUCCUCCUCGACUUCUUCUGCUACAGCGCCGCCGAUGUCGCGGCAGAGAUCGGCAUCCCGGCGUAUUUCUUCUUCCAGAGUUGCACGGCCAGCCUGGCUGUAUUGCUCCACCUGCCCGUCAUCCACGGGCAAAACGAUGUGAGCAUGCGUGACCUCGGCGGCGAGCUCGUGCACGUGCCUGGCGUCACUCCUAUACCGGCGCACGACCUCCCCGCUGCUUUCCUCGAUCGGAGCAGCCUGAGCUAUAAGCAUUUCCUCGCCUUGUCCGAACAGCUGUGCAAGUCGCACGGCGUUAUUGUGAACAGCUGCCGAUCCCUGGAGCCGCGCGCCACCGACGCCGUCGCCUCCGGCCUCUGCACGCCCCCGGGGCGCACGACACCGCCCUUAUUUUGUGUCGGCCCACUGGUACAAUCUGCGGAGGUAGCCGAGAAGCAAGGCGAAGAGUGCCUUGCGUGGCUAGACACGCAGCCGAAGGCCAGCGUGCUGUUCCUCUGCUUCGGCAGUAUGGGUCGGUUCAGCGCCGAGCAGAUCAAGGAGAUGGCGGCGGGUCUGGAGAUGAGUGGCCAACGGUUCCUCUGGGUCGUACGCAGCCCGCCGGGCGGCAACGAGCAGCCGGGCGAGCCGGAGCUGGACGUGCUGCUCCCGAAUGGCUUCCUGGACAGGACUAAGGACAGAGGGCUGGUGGUCACGUCGUGGGCGCCGCAGCGGGAAGUGCUGGCCCACGAAACAGUGGGCGGGUUCGUGACCCAUUGCGGGUGGAACUCGGUGCUGGAGGCGGUCAUGGCGGGUGUGCCGAUGCUGGGGUGGCCGCUGUACGCGGAGCAGCGGAUGAACAAGGUAUUUUUGGUGGAGGGGAUGCAGCUAGGCGUGGCGAUGGAACCAGGCCCAGAUGGCUUCGUGACGGCAAAGGAGAUCGAGGGGAAGGUCACUUGGCUGAUGAGUUCUGAUGGCGGGAGGGAGCUUCGGGAGCGUACUUUGGUGGCCAUGAGAGAGGCAAGGGAGGCCCUCAGCGCCGGUGGGGAUUCCACGGCGGCACUUCUGCAGCUCGUGCAAAGGUGACUUAACGCCCCAGAGCGGUGCUUCUUCCUACCCUCGUCAGUCAUUCAUCCCCUUCCAGUUCGUGGCUGUGUGGAGCGGCGUUUCGCCAUGGAUGGCCUCGAGUUCUUCUUUGAGGAAGCAGAAUCAGGAUUGGUACCCAGGGCUGAUGCGGGUGAUUCGUUGGGUGGAGGAAUCGAUGUUGUGGAGUCUGUGGUUGCUUCCAUCCAUGAAGGGCGCGGGCGCUCCUCUGAUGUGAUUUCUUCCGAGCCGAUGGAUGACAGCAAUGCCAAAGAGCAGUUGAGAGUGGUGGGGGCGAAUCUCGGGUCAUACAACAACGGUGGGAGUGAGAUCGUUGGCGACUCGAACGAUGUGAAGGCUCGGAACACUUCCUCUGCAUCAAUAGGAGAGGAGGGAGAUGCAGAAGGCGUCGUUGUCAACAAAACAAAGGCUUCCUGUUGGACUCGACGGGUAUGCAAAGUCAGGAUUGGCAACACACCAGAAGAGAGGGAUGCCAACCCAAGCAGAGUCCCUGCCCUCGAGGCUUCGAUGAGAGCUUAUGCAGAAAACAAGGGUGGCACAGUUGUUAACCCGUCGCUCGGAACUAGCUUUGACACGGUUGAAGAAGCGUAUGAGUUUUACAACCUAUAUUCCUGGGAGAUGGGGUUUGGCGUUCGGAAACAAAAUGAGGCUUACACUGUCGAUCGGGCACUUGUAGAAACGCUUGCCCUCGUUUUCGCCUUCUUUCCCACUGAUGUUGGUCUCCACCUGAACCUCGCCGCAGUCCGGGCACAUGAUGAGCGGCAAGUGCUGGUGCCUUUGACUGGAACGAACUGA